UACGUAGGGACCAAGCGUUGUUCGGAUUUACUGGGCGUAAAGCGUGCGCAGGCGGUUUUGUAAGCCAGAUGUGAAAUCCCCGGGCUUAACCUGGGAAUGGCAUUUGGGACUGCAAGGCUUGAGUGCGGCAGAGGAGACUGGAAUUCCUGGUGUAGCAGUGAAAUGCGUAGAUAUCAGGAGGAACACCGAUGGCGAAGGCAGGUCUCUGGGCUGACACUGACGCUCAUGCACGAAAGCGUGGGGAGCAAACAGG
This 253-nucleotide ribosomal RNA is filed under the name uncultured bacterium. RNAcentral's name for it is "partial 16S ribosomal RNA". It matches the Rfam family "Bacterial small subunit ribosomal RNA", at positions 524 to 776 of the family's 1533-position model. The record is from RNAcentral.